This 533-nucleotide small RNA is filed under the name Pongo abelii (Sumatran orangutan). Its description in RNAcentral is "retained intron". Lineage: Eukaryota; Metazoa; Chordata; Mammalia; Primates; Hominidae. The record is from RNAcentral.
CCCCUUGCAGCAGAGGCUGGUCCACGGUUCUCAGGGAAAUGGUGGGUUGGGGAUGAAAUGCUGAUGAGGAUUUCCCAGGAAAGCUUGUCCCUCCUACACUGUGAGGAAGUGGCAGAGCCAAAAGAGGGACACCUAAGAGGACAUGGGUGUGUAGCCCUAAAAAGGGUGUUCCUUUUUGCCUUCCCUCUGUCCAGGUUGGCCCAGCACAUCACCUAUGUGCACCAGCACAGCCGGCAGCCCCCCUCCCAGUUUGAACCUCUGGACAUGAAGCUCAUGAGGCGUUACAUAGCCAUGUGCCGUGAGAAGCAGCCCACGGUGCCAGAGUCUCUGGCUGACUACAUCACAGCAGCAUACGUGGAGAUGAGGCGAGAGGCUUGGGCUAGUAAGGAUGCCACCUAUACUUCUGCCCGGACCCUGCUGGCUAUUCUGCGCCUUUCCACUGCUCUGGCACGUCUGAGAAUGGUGGACGUGGUAGAGAAAGAAGAUGUGAAUGAAGCCAUCAGGCUAAUGGAGAUGUCAAAGGACUCUCUUCU